CCCUUAGAUGUUCUGGGCCGCACGCGCACUACACUGACGAUGGCAACGAGUUUUUCCUUCGCCGAAAGGUGUGGGUAAUCUUUUGAAACAUCGUCGUGCUGGGGAUAGAUCAUUGCAAUUUUUGAUCUUGAACGAGGAAUUCCUAGUAAGCGCGAGUCAUCAGCUCGCGUUGAUUACGUCCCUGCCCUUUGUACACACCGCCCGUCGCUACUACCGAUUGAAUGGUUUAGUGAGGACUCCUGAUUGGCGCCGCCGCCCCGGCAACGGAGCAGCGGACUGCCGAAAAGUUGUUCAAACUUGAUCAUUUAGAGGAAGUAAAAGUCGUAACA
This 329-nucleotide ribosomal RNA is filed under the name uncultured eukaryote. RNAcentral's name for it is "partial 18S ribosomal RNA". It matches the Rfam family "Eukaryotic small subunit ribosomal RNA", at positions 1470 to 1796 of the family's 1831-position model. The record is from RNAcentral.